UUCACAAUGAGUGCUAUGUAUAGUUUGUAAUUGCAACAUUCAACAACGUUAGAUAUCAUCCAUUGGAAAGAGUUAAAAACCUCGUAAAACUUAAAAGCCUAGUGAGGCCCAGUCUCCUUCAAAACCACAAGCUUUUCAGCCGUAGAAACUGGGAAGACAAUAUUUAGCAAUCUCUCUCGAUUUAGGCACACUCCUAAGAUCAACCUUAGUACCAUCUUUCAAGGUAAUCACAAUACCACCCCAUUUGCCUAGAAAACCCGGCACAACUUACACAUCCUUAAUCACUUUUUGUAAGAGAAAUCGGUCCUGUCCUCAACUGUCAUCCCUGAAAUUACAGUCACUCGCAUGUUGGUGAACCUUUAUCUCAGAUAAAAGGCCCUUGACACUGCAGCUAAUGUCAAUGGGAGCCAGAGAAGAGUGAAACCCAAAAGAAGAUUCGUUAUGAGGCCCCCAUAGUGAGCUCCACCAUCGAAAAAGAUGAUUUCUUCUGCAGGUUUUAUUGAGGGAAUGGCGGUGACCGUUUUGUUGGUUGGGGCGGAGACGUGGUGCUUAGCGAUUUGCCUGUGAAUUUUAGAGGGAAAAGGAUAUUGGAAGAGAGGCAGAGAUAUUGGUGGCUGACGGAGGGGGUGGCGGCGGUUGUGGUGGUGGUGGCCGUGACGAGAGGAACCGAGGCCAUGGGGAUUAUCCGUUUCGAAGAUGGUCGUCUGUUAGCGAAAUUAAUUGUGGCUAAAAAAUUGCACGUGGCAUAUCAGUGUUGUCCUUUUUUCCGUGGGCUUGAAUACCACAACCAGAGGCCCAUAAUGUUUAGUCCAAUACGCCAUUAUUUGAGUCAUUAAUCUAAAUGCUCAAUCAUUUUAAAUGCACAUCUAUCCAAACGAACCCUUUAAUUUUUUAUUGUCAAUUUUCUAGAAAAACGAGUCUCAGUAUUUUUUAGUUUAUCUUUAAAAUGUGUAACCUAUAUCGGGAUUGUUC
Molecule: unclassified non-coding RNA, 972 nt
Filed under: Hevea brasiliensis (rubber tree)
Lineage: Eukaryota; Viridiplantae; Streptophyta; Magnoliopsida; Malpighiales; Euphorbiaceae
Source: RNAcentral